AAUCAACGCUGGCGGCGUGCCUCAGACAUGCAAGUCGAACGCGAAAGUUUCCUUCGGGAGAUGAGUAGAGUGGCGCACGGGUGAGUAACACGUAGGUAAUUUGCCUUUGGGUGGGGAAUACCAACCGGAAACGGUUGUUAAUACCGCAUAAUGCAGCGGCAUCAUAAGAUGACAGUUGUUAAAGCGGGGGAUUCGUAAGAACCUCGCGCCUAAAGAGGAGCCUGCGGCGGAUUAGGAGUUGGUGAGGUAAUGGCUCACCAAGCCUGCGAUCCGUAACCGACCUGAGAGGGUGGUCGGUCACACUGACACUGACAUACGGGUCAGACUCCUACGGGAGGCAGCAGUCGGGAAUUUUGGGCAAUGGGCGCAAGCCUGACCCACGCAACGCCGCGUGAAGGAUGAAGCAUUUCGGUGUGUAAACUUCGCAAGAACAGGAAGAAUAAGUGAAUAACUAAUACCGUUCAUGAU
Molecule: ribosomal RNA, 468 nt
Filed under: uncultured bacterium
Lineage: Bacteria
Description: bacterial SSU rRNA
Rfam family: Bacterial small subunit ribosomal RNA
Source: RNAcentral